Bos indicus x Bos taurus (hybrid cattle) is the source of this 493-nucleotide long non-coding RNA. The record is from Ensembl. NCBI's taxonomy places the organism in Eukaryota, Metazoa, Chordata, Mammalia, Artiodactyla, Bovidae.
GUCAGCCUCUCUAAGUUCUCCUGUAUUACUGAUUUUUACUACUAGUCCAUGCAUACAUGAUAAUUAAACUUUUUCUGAUCUUCUAGUGUGCUCCUGCCCUUGACUGGGAUUCUCGCUGUCUUCUGUCUGCCUGCCAGAGGACUGCAGCCUGCUGUGUUGCUGAAUUUCUACCAUUUAGGACUGCUGGUUAGCAUACUGGACAGCAGAGGCUUGACUUGAGUAGAGACCCUUAUUCACCAGAAUUGCAAAGGACAUCAAAUCUCAAGAGGAAAGCUGAUUACUCAAGGAACUGAAUUUCUCAGGCGUUGCAGAUGGCUGAGUUAUGUUCUCUGGAGAAGUGGAUGGUCUUCAUUCUAUAACAAUGAUUCUGAAUGAUGUCAUUAAAGAUAGCCCACAAGCCUCAGAAGCUGUGAUUCUGAUAAUUCAGAAAAGAAAUAUGAGAAAGAGAAGAUCAUCCAGUAAAUACAAGAGAAAUAAUAGACCUGAAUCUUAA